RNAcentral lists this long non-coding RNA (2550 nucleotides) under Bos grunniens (domestic yak). RNAcentral describes it as "lncRNA (ENSBGRG00000002801.1)". Lineage: Eukaryota; Metazoa; Chordata; Mammalia; Artiodactyla; Bovidae. The record is from RNAcentral.
AUGAACACUGUGAGAAGUAUUUAUUCAGGACUCCUGCUAAAUCUAAUGGUCUCAUAUGUCAAUCAGAUGUUGGGAACACCUGCGUCUCAAAUACCAAGAGGGCUGGAUGAGGAAAUCACUGCUUGGAAGCCCACCCUGCCUUUGUCAGGGGAGGGCAGAGUGCGGAGCAAGGCACAGACCGGGACGCAGGGCAGCCCUGAUCCCUGCAGCCCCGAGACUGAGAGGACCCCGAAACCCCAGGUCCCAGCGCAUUCAGUAGCUCUGAGAGACGUCUGUUCUAGAAAGACCAAGGAAGCCUUAAUGCACACAAGCGAAUAUUCUACGAAAGAAGUAUUUUUUCCCAAGCAAUAGAGGGGGGCUUAAGGAAUGAGAUAGCAACUUCAACAAGAAAAGAACAAAAGAUUUUGAUGAAAUAUUGCAUUGAGUAAUCCAUCUGGUUAAAAAGGGGAUACUUCCUCAUAGUUCCCUUCUCACCUCCUCAUAUUUAAAAAACAGGUGCUGCAGGUUGACUUCAUGAACGGAAUCGUCAAACAUUUGUACUCUCCUAACUGAACGGAUUCCUGCAACACGAGAGCAUUUCCUCUGCAAAUCUGCUGCCUGGUACCACAGCUGAGCAGGUCCCUGGGCAGGCCUGGUCUCGUUCUUACUUUCUGGGUUUCCUUUUCUUUCACUCUCUCUCUCUCUCCUGGCAAAAUGUCUUGAAAACAGGACAUUUACGCUCCACCCUCACGUUAUCUUUUCUCUCUAGUUCUUUGCUUUUGAACUAGCCUUCAACAUGGGGAAGUUUAGCUGAGAGCCCCCCAAACCACUUCCUGGCCCGCCUAUGGCACCAACAAGUUGUAACCUGUCGUUCCACAGGGAUCGUUGGUAAUGCUUGGCUUGCCUUGCUCUUGUUCAAUUUUUUAUUUCCGCAGAAGCUCAUUAGGAGGGAACACUUCUGAAAACGUACUGCCUGAACCUCAAAAUCUCUUCUGGUGUAUUCAAACUCAGGCACAGAAGUCAUUCAGAAACUGAGAUUGAAGUUGAUUUAGCCGGGUGUCUGAAUUAGCCCCCAAACCACAUCAUUCUUAUUGUAAGUAUCUCUACUUGCUGUCAUAGAAACAGUUGAAGCAGUGUAACCACAAACAUUAUUCACCUUCCACUAUUAACCCUCUUGUUCAUUUCUUUUUUUUUUUUUCAAAGCUCUUCUGGAAAUUCUACAACUUCUUUUAAAACAGAUUUUCUAGACAAUGACUGCUUUUUUGCUGAUGGAGUCCUAUUAUAAAAAUAGGAAGAAAUUCAGUUUCAAUAUCCCUCUGAUUCUACUUGCUUAGCAGUUGCUUUCACUCCAAAAUGGGCAGGAAGGUAAACACUGCAAUCUUUUUACCAUUUCUUUAAAUGCUUUAAAAAGAGAGAACUCACAGUUUUCUGGAGGGUGCCCACAUGCUGUUAAUCCCUCUUGCUCCACCAUGGUGCUGUAGGACUAAGCGGAGGACUGGCUGCCGUAAUCCUUUAACUGGCACUUCAGAAAUUAUGUAGAAAAGCUAAAGUCUGUCUUGCAAACCCCAAAACUUGUCUCCACAAUCUUGCCUCGAUCAGCUUCCAAAGUAUAAUGCAGCGUGAUUAUUUUCCUCUGGGGAAACCUGUGUAACAGGUCUCUGAGUGCCAUUGGAUGUGUCAGAGGUUUAAUUGAUUCUUCACCAUGUCUCUGCACCCCAUAAUAGCCUUGCUAAGCACAGGACGUGUUUUACGGGAAUAGUCACCCAGAGCUUAAUUUGUUGUUGUGAGGCAGACAAGACUGUUUCCCAAUGAAAUUAAAUCUGUUUCGUGCCCUGCAAGUUUCUUCCUGAUGAAGUGUGCUCUGCUGACUACUGAGAGUGCAACCCUUGAUGGUCUCCAAUUAGCAUGGAUGCCAUUCCAGGGAAAGCUUACUCUCUGUUCCUUGCCAGUUUUGGAAAAACAUUCUGGUGGAGAACAGGGCUGCCACAGAACUCUGUUCCUUGAUUUCAUUUACUUUUCUCUUGCUUCUUGGGUCACAAGACAGGCGUGAUCCACAUGCCCUUAUCACAACCCAUGUAAAGUUAUCUCAUACAUGCUAUCUUAUUUUGUCAUCUUGAUAACAUUGCCAUGAGGGCAGGCAGGUAUUAUUAUGCCCAUUUUACAGAUAAGAAAACUGAGUCCCAAAUAGUCUUGCAACUUACUCAAGGAACCACUGAUAAUAAGCACCAAGUAAGGACUAGAAAGCACUUACUCUUUUUAGUAAUUACCCUCUUCCUUGGUCUAAAGUGGGCUUCCCUUGUGGCUCAGCUGGUAAAGAAUCCACUUGCACUGUGGGAGACCUGGGUUUGACCCCUGGUUUGGGAAGAUCCCCUGGAGAAGGGAAAGGCUACCCACUCUGGUAUUCUGGCCUGGAGAAUUCCAUGGACUGUAUAGUCCUUGGGGUGGCAAAGAGUUGGACGUGACAUCCUGGAAUGUGAAGUCAACUGGGCCUUAGGAAGCAUCACUACGAACAAAGCUAGUAGAGGUGAUGGAAUUCCAGUUGAGCUAUUUCAAAUCCUGAAAGAUGAUGCC